UUAAAUCUAUCUAUUUUAAGUACAUUAAAUGUAAAUAAAGAUCGUGUUUGUUAUUUAUUCUUUUAACAUUUUGUUUAGUUGAUGAGGAUGACAAAGAUGUUGCAAUUGAAUGUAGAAUGAUAAUGUUACCUAACGCUCCCAAUAACUAGGGCCUUUAGCAAUGAGGUCUUUUAACAAACGGUGUUCAAUCGGCUGUAUUAAUGUGAGGGCACGCUGUCGUUUGAAUGUUUUAAUGGAGGGUUUAUCUUAUUCAGUAGUGCGUAAGAUUCAAAUAUUAAAUGGAAAAAUUACAAAAGGCACUUAUUCAAAACUACUGUCUAGCUAAAAGUGACAAAUUUAACAUUAAACGAACCUUGUUUCCUGACGAGCAAAUGGGCAAAGUUGUCAAACAAACUACAAGAAACAAACUCACAAUCAUUUAUAUAAGUUCCACCAACAUCGUCAUGUUCCUUCUACAUCUAAUAAAUCAAAAAUAUCCACGCAAUUUCAAUCUCAGCAGUGUAUGUGAAGGAAAAAGUGAUUAAGGAAAUAAUGCUGAUUAAAUCUAAUCCAGGAAAGUUUUCCUAUGUGAGCCAUUAGGCAACGUUUAACAAAAGUUAUGAACAUCCAUAUUUUUGGGCCCAACAAUUUCAAUCAAAAUCUUUGUAUGAUCAAAUUGGUCAAUGAAUGUGAUGCAAAAACGUUGUUGAAGUUGCAAAAUUAUCAAUUAAUGACAUUCAACAUUGAUCCCGACCGAAAUUCGGUUUCGAAUGACUGUAUUGGUUAAAUUAUGGAUGGGGCAAAUGUUUGCAUUAAAAGCGUCCGUCUCUCACAACAACUUUAUUAAAUUUGCUAUGAUUAUGAAAUCCAACUUUGUGUAAAACGAGUAGUAACAUUAAAUAAGACAAUUACAUACAUCAAUCGAGGAAAUGAGGAUUCGUUAAGUUUGACCAGAGCGAAAAAAAAUUAGAUGCAGAGACAUAUCAGCAUGCACAUCUCAGAUUUUUUGCAGUGCACCGCAUGUGCUUAGUUCAACAACAACAAAGAAAAAUAUGAAGACGAAAUUAAUGCUAACGAAGGUGAGAAAGCGCUUGAGUACGAUCCUGCUUUGUCUAGUGUUAAAACUCUGGAAGAUGUGCAAACUUUUGUCAAAUAUUUAAAGUAUAAUUUUAAGUUAGUCAGAGAACCUAAAGAAAGUGCGCAAUCUCAUGGAAUCUAUUUUCUGGUUCUCGAUGUCAAAGUUCAAUGGAACAAUACAUCGAAAAUAUUAACGACUUACAAUGACAUAAUGCCAACUAUUACAAGUACUCUUCAAUCAUUUAGACAUGAUUGGCCUAAUUAUUUAGAGACGAGCAUUCCUUAAUUAGUAGCAACUCUACAUACAUGUAAAAUAGAUAUGAAUGACAUAAGUAACAAUCACAAUAACUUGAACAUUUGCACAAGGUGCAUUGGGAUUUUGUUUGGAAGAAAUUCAAAUAUUGGAAAGUUUUAUUUUUAGACGUUUGCUCGAAGAAUUGAAAAAGAUAUUCUUAAAAGGCGACCGAUCUUAACUGUCAGUCUACUAAAUUUUCUCAACAAUCCAAAAGUUCUUGAAGAGCCGAAUAUGUCCCCAUUUUCGCUCUCAUCAAAUUAAUUUUUUUUUGAAAAAGCAAAAACCCUGAUUCAAUUAUUUAUUUCACUUCGUCUAAUGAUGAUGUCAGUGAUGAUGUUAUAGAAAUUCCAUCUGAAGCUUAGCAGAUUGUCAAACAGACUCCAAACCGUAACUCAGAAAUAACGUUUUUUUGCUUUUCUCCAACGUCGAAAGACUUUAAACUUUGUACUAAAGCUCCAAGAGACUUUUAAAAAAAGAAAAGAAAAUCAAAUUUUUCCCUCCUUAUGAUGGGUUAAAAAUAGCUUUUUUUGCAUCCCUUAAAGAAAUAAAGCACGACUCUAUAGAAUAACAAUUUAAACUAUAGAGAAACAAUUUAAGAAUAAACGGAAUAAAAGAAAGCGAGCAUGAAACAUGGGAAGAAAGUGAGUUAAAAGUGCUUAAAUUAUUUGAAGAGACGCUUGAAAUCAAAGAUGUGAAAAUUGAGCGGAUGCACAGAACCGGGCCAAGAGGUGAAAAUAAAAAUAGAACAAUAAUAUAAAAACUCUUGAACUAUAAAGAUAAAACAGAUAUUAUGAAGAGAUCAGUGAAAUUAAAAGGUAUGAAUAUUUACAUAAAUGAGGACUUUUGUUUUGAAACUGUUUAGAUAAGAAAAGACUUGAAGAAUGAAAUUUUAGGCAGCGAGAACUGGGAAAAUAUGCGUUUAUCUCUUGCGACGAUCUGGUCGUGCGCGAAUGGUCUGAAAAGAAAAUUGACGCAAAAGAUUGCUAAGUUUGUGCUUUAUAAGGUUCUGAUGACAAGAUCUUGUGAUCUUCUUUCAGAUCCUAGCUUAUGUUUCAUUGUAAGCAGUUUAUGUAUGUGCGCAUCUACGCAUUUGUAUGUGUAUAUAUGCUUAUAUUUAUAUAUGUA
Hydra vulgaris (swiftwater hydra) is the source of this 2476-nucleotide long non-coding RNA. RefSeq lists it as uncharacterized. The record is from RefSeq and is a predicted model, not a curated record. Lineage: Eukaryota; Metazoa; Cnidaria; Hydrozoa; Anthoathecata; Hydridae.